GGACCAAGGAGUCUAGCAUGUGCGCGAGUCAUUGGGAACCAUGACUAAACCUAAAGGCGCAGUGAAAGCGAAGGUGUCGUUUUCGACACCGUGGGAGGACGGGCGCAAGCCGCCCCGCACUCCCGGGGCGUCUCGCACUCAUCGCGAGGCGAGGCGCACCGCGAGCGUACACGCUGGGACCCGAAAGAUGGUGAACUAUGCCUGGUCAGGACGAAGUCAGGGGAAACCCUGAUGGAGGUCCGUAGCGAUUCUGACGUGCAAAUCGAUCGUCGGAACUGGGUAUAGGGGCGAAAGACUAAUCGAACCAUCUAGUAGCUGGUUCCCUCCGAAGUUUCCCUCAGGAUAGCUGGCGCUCGGGCGCAAACGAACAUUUACGCACACGAGUCUCAUCCGGUAAAGCGAAUGAUUAGAGGCAUUGGGGUCGAAACGGCCUCAACCUAUUCUCAAACUUUAAAUGGGUGAGAUCUCCGGCUUGCUUGAACCGUGAAGCCGGAGAUCGGAUCAACGGGCGCCAAGUGGGCCACUUUUGGUAAGCAGAACUGGCGCUGUGGGAUGAACCAAACGUCGAGUUAAAGCGCCAAAAUCGACGCUUAUGGGACACCAUGAAAGGCGUU
RNAcentral lists this ribosomal RNA (614 nucleotides) under Laccophilus sp. 2 MTM-2009. Its description in RNAcentral is "eukaryotic LSU rRNA". It matches the Rfam family "Eukaryotic large subunit ribosomal RNA", at positions 663 to 1225 of the family's 3401-position model. The record is from RNAcentral. Lineage: Eukaryota; Metazoa; Arthropoda; Insecta; Coleoptera; Dytiscidae.